GAUAAACGCUGGCGGCGUGCCUAAUACAUGCAGGUCGAGCGAACGGACGAGAAGCUUGCUUCUCUGAUGUUAGCGGCGGACGGGUGAGUAACACGUGGAUAACCUACCUAUAAGACUGGGAUAACUUCGGGAAACCGUAGCUAAUACCGGAUAAUAUUUUGAACCGCAUGGUUCAAAAGUGAAAGACGGUCUUGCUGUCACUUAUAGAUGGAUCCGCGCUGCAUUAGCUAGUUGGUAAGGUAACGGCUUACCAAGGCAACGAUGCAUAGCCGACCUGAGAGGGUGAUCGGCCACACUGGAACUGAGACACGGUCCAGACUCCUACGGGAGGCAGCAGUAGGGAAUCUUCCGCAAUGGGCGAAAGCCUGACGGAGCAACGCCGCGUGAGUGAUGAAGGUCUUCGGAUCGUAAAACUCUGUUAUUAGGGAAGAACAUAUGUGUAAGUAACUGUGCACAUCUUGACGGUACCUAAUCAGAAAGCCACGGCUAACUACGUG
This 497-nucleotide ribosomal RNA is filed under the name uncultured bacterium. Its description in RNAcentral is "partial 16S ribosomal RNA". It matches the Rfam family "Bacterial small subunit ribosomal RNA", at positions 28 to 507 of the family's 1533-position model. The record is from RNAcentral.